UUUUCCUGUUCCUCCCAGUUGACUGGAAGGCUCCUUGGGCUAGUUUAAUGGCUAGCCUCUAAGGGUCUUGUGGAUGAAGGCUGUUUUCUCAGAAGGAGUGUUUUACAGUUGUAGACCCUUAUCACUAGUUGGGAGUGAAGUCUGCUGAAGCCAUCCUUUUUGCUUCAGCUGACAGUACAGUCCCGGUUUCCUGGUUGUCUACAAAGGAUGUUGGUACGCUCUGCAAUCACUUUUAGCCACGCUUGACAUGGUAUUGAU
RNAcentral lists this long non-coding RNA (258 nucleotides) under Gallus gallus (chicken). Lineage: Eukaryota; Metazoa; Chordata; Aves; Galliformes; Phasianidae. The record is from RNAcentral.